This 468-nucleotide ribosomal RNA is filed under the name uncultured bacterium. RNAcentral's name for it is "partial 16S ribosomal RNA". It matches the Rfam family "Bacterial small subunit ribosomal RNA", at positions 28 to 507 of the family's 1533-position model. The record is from RNAcentral.
GAUGAACGCUGGCGGCGUGCUUAAUAUAUGCAAGUCGAACGGACAGGCCCUGCUUUUGUGGGUUUCUCGAGUGCCGAACGCGUGAGUAACACGUGUGUAACCUGCCCUUGAUUUUGGGAUCACUUCAGGAAACUGGGGCUCAUACCCGGUAGGAUCUCCUGCGGCACGGUGGGGGUUGGAAAGUUUCGGCGGUUGGGGAAGGACUCGCGGCUUAUCAGCUUGUUGGUCGGGUAGUGGCUUACCAAGGCUUUGACGGGUAGGCGGCCUGAGAGGGUGACCGGCCACAUUGGGACUGAGGUACGGCCCAGACGCCUACGGGAGGCAGCAGUGGGGAAUAUUGCGCAAUAGGCGGAAGCCUGAUGCAGCCACGCCGCGUGCGGGAUGACGGCCUUCGGGGUAUAAACCGCUUUCGCCUGUGACGAAGCGUGAGUGACGGUAAUGGGUAAGGAAGCACCGGCUAACUACGUG